Thunnus maccoyii (southern bluefin tuna) is the source of this 1054-nucleotide long non-coding RNA. RefSeq lists it as uncharacterized. The transcript is spliced from 6 exons. The record is from RefSeq and is a predicted model, not a curated record. NCBI's taxonomy places the organism in Eukaryota, Metazoa, Chordata, Actinopteri, Scombriformes, Scombridae.
UUAGCAUUUAGCAAGAUUCAGUUACAAACCUUUAUGGCAUAUUUCAGUAAUACAAAACGUACAUUCGUGUUGGAACAGUACUAAAGACAAAAAUAUGACAGUAACAUGUUAGCAAUAGUACCCCUGAUUUAUAUAAUGUGUGUCAGGAACCUGCUGUGACGAUAUUGUUUUGAGAUUUGUAAUGACAUCUUUAUUUAUAACUCAAUAUUUGUAGCUGAUGGCCGUACGGACAGUCCAGGGUUCUGUGCUCAAUACUGUACUUACAGCGCCAGGGGAAAUGAGACAACAGACAUCCGAUCCGUUGUCACUAUCGACAAGAGAGAGAUGCAGAGGAGCUCUGUUGUCGUGGAGAAGGAAGGGUUCAUGAGGAGUUUUCAGAAGCUCUGCAAGGGGACGACACUGUCUGAAGUGUGCACGGACGCACAGUUACAGAUAUCAGCUCUCUUCAAUCCGGACAGCUUGAUAUGAGACAUGGAUCCAAAAACCCUUGGCAAAAAGAUACACGCAGCAAGUGUGGCUGGUCAGUGAAGGGGUUGUGCUUUCCUCCUGAGGUGGAAUAAAGACAACUGCAACAAUUUCUGGUAUUGCUGCAAGAUGACGUAAACUACAAUGACUUCUUUGAGAGCACGAAUGGUCCCUUGGAGGAGGAUGAAGACAGGAAGUGGAUCGAGAAGGGUUCAGUGGCUCAUUUAGCUCUGUCAAAUGAAAUUGACCUCAAUGAGCGCUGGCUGAAGGAGGUCCGCAAGUAGCUUCACUGUGGUCAACUGCUGAGCUGGAGUCAUUCCAUAACCACAUCCUCAUGUAUGCCAGCCAACGCAUUUCCUUCAGCCCUCCAGUCUGUGAAGACUAGACCACAACCAUCAUGUCCACAGAUCAGCCAAGAGAAGACCUGAUGGCUCCGUAGAGUUUGUCAAAUGAAGACCAUGUGAAGUGUCUACUAUCAGCAACAAUUCAUAUUUCUCAUUUGCCACCUGUUGGUUAUUUAUUUGUAUUGUUAUUUAACAUUCUUUGUAUGUAUUACCUGUUCACAGGAAAAAUAAAUUCUUUCAACACA